Molecule: ribosomal RNA, 253 nt
Filed under: uncultured bacterium
Lineage: Bacteria
Also listed under: 1 other name
Description: partial 16S ribosomal RNA
Rfam family: Bacterial small subunit ribosomal RNA
Source: RNAcentral
UACGAAGGUGGCAAGCGUUGUUCGGAUUUACUGGGCGUACAGGGAGCGUAGGCGGUUGGAUAAGCCCUCCGUGAAAUCUCCAGGCUUAACCUGGAAAGUGCAGAGGGGACUGUUCAGCUAGAGGAUGGGAGAGGAGCGCGGAAUUCCCGGUGUAGCGGUGAAAUGCGUAGAUAUCUGGAGGAACACCGGUGGCGAAGGCGGCAUCCUGGACCGGCAUUGACGCUGAGGCGCGAAAGCCAGGGGAGCAAACGGG